UACGUAGGGACCGAGCGUUGUCCGGAUUCAUUGGGCGUAAAGAGCUCGUAGGCGGUUUGUUGCGUCGGCUGUGAAAUCCCGAGGCUCAACCUCGGGUCUGCAGUCGAUACGAGCAAACUAGAGUGUUGCAGGGGAGACUGGAAUUCCUGGUGUAGCGGUGAAAUGCGCAGAUAUCAGGAGGAACACCGGUGGCGAAGGCGGGUCUCUGGGCAACAACUGACGCUGAGGAGCGAAAGCGUGGGGAGCAAACAGG
Molecule: ribosomal RNA, 253 nt
Filed under: uncultured bacterium
Lineage: Bacteria
Description: partial 16S ribosomal RNA
Rfam family: Bacterial small subunit ribosomal RNA
Source: RNAcentral